AGGUUAGUUUUACCCUACUGAUGACAAGUCGUUGCGAUAGUAAUCCUGCUCAGUACGAGAGGAACCGCGGGAUCAGACAUUUGGUUCAUGCGCUCGGCUGAAAGGCCGGUGGCGCGAAGCUAGCAUCUGCAAGAUUAUGACUGAACGCCUCUAAGUCAGAAUCUUUUCUAGUCAUUGGCAACGAUAAGUUGCGUCCAGACUCGAUGCGAGGAAACGAUUAGGCUUUGCUAUACGGCGAAGCCAUUAUCAGACCACGGUAGCAGGCAGUAUGGGAUUGUUACGAAAAAGCAAUUUUUUGAAGUCAGUUGAAUUCAAUCAAACUGCUAACAAUUCCACUGCGAAUGACUCCAUUCGAAUCAAUCGAAGCACAGCGGUCAGGAUGUCGAACAUUUUGCAGACGACAAAAAUACCGGUUCAGGUGUCGUAAUCAGUAGAGCAGUCAACACACUGCGAUCUGAUGAGACUCAUCCUUGUAAUCGAUUUGCUCGU
This is a ribosomal RNA of Trichinella murrelli, 489 nucleotides long. It matches the Rfam family "Eukaryotic large subunit ribosomal RNA", at positions 2980 to 3401 of the family's 3401-position model. The record is from Rfam. Lineage: Eukaryota; Metazoa; Nematoda; Enoplea; Trichinellida; Trichinellidae.